UACGGAGGGUGCAAGCGUUGCUCGGAAUUAUUGGGCGUAAAGCGCGUGUAGGCGGCUAUUUAAGUCUGGUGUGAAAGCCCGGGGCCUAACCCCGGAAGUGCACUGGAUACUGGAUGGCUAGAGGACGGGAGAGGAGAGUGGAAUUCCUGGUGUAGGGGUGAAAUCCGUAGAUAUCAGGAGGAACAUCGGAAGCGAAGGCGGCUCUCUGGCCCGUAUCUGACGCCCAGACGCGAAAGCGUGGGUAGCAAACAGG
This 253-nucleotide ribosomal RNA is filed under the name uncultured bacterium. Its description in RNAcentral is "partial 16S ribosomal RNA". It matches the Rfam family "Bacterial small subunit ribosomal RNA", at positions 524 to 776 of the family's 1533-position model. The record is from RNAcentral.